This 1749-nucleotide ribosomal RNA is filed under the name Durio zibethinus. Its description in RNAcentral is "SSU rRNA". It matches the Rfam family "Eukaryotic small subunit ribosomal RNA". The record is from RNAcentral. Lineage: Eukaryota; Viridiplantae; Streptophyta; Magnoliopsida; Malvales; Malvaceae.
CUUGGUUGAUCCUGCUAGUAGUCAUAUGCUUGUCUCAAAGAUUAAGCCAUACAUGUGUAAGUAUAAACUAAUUCAUGUUGUGAAACUGUAAAUGGCUUAUUAAAGUAGGUAUAGUUUCUUUGAUGGUAUCUACUACUCAGAUAAUAACGGUAAUUCUAGAGCUAAUAUGUGUAACAAACCAUAACUUUUAAAAGGGAUGCAUUUAUUAGAUAAAAGGUCAACAUAGGCUUUGCCUGUUGCUUUAAUGAUUCAUGAUAACUCGACAGAUUGCACAGCCUUUGUGCCAGUGAUGCAUCAUUCAAAUUUCUGCCCUAUUAACUUUUAAUGGUAGGAUAGUAGCCUAUUAUGGUGGUGACGAGUGACAGAGAAUUAGGGUUUGAUUUUGAAGAGGGAGCUUGAGAAAUGGCUACCACAUCCUAGGAAGGUAGUAGGUGCACAAAUUACCGAAUCCUGACACAGGGAGGUAAUGACAACAAUUAACAAUAUCGGGCUGUAUGAGUCUAGUAAUUGGAAUGAGUGCAAUCUAAAUCCCUUAACAAGGAUCCAUUGGAAGGCAAGUUUGGUGCUAAUAGCUAUGGUAAUUCUAGCUCCAAUAGCUUAUAUUUAAGUUAUUGUAGUUAAAAAGCUCAAAGUUAGAAUUGGUUUACCUCACGGUGAGCAUCAGUCUACUUGUUCCUACUACCAAUGAUGCAUUUCUGGCCUUAACUGGUUGAGUUAUUCCUCUAAUGCUUUUAUUUUGAAGAAAUUAGAAUGCGCAAAGUAGGCCUGUGCUUGUAUACAUUAGCAUGGGAUAACAUCAUAGGAUUUCGAUCCUAUUGUGUUGGCCUUUGGGAUCAGAGUAAUGAUUAAUAGGGAUAGUCAGGGGCAUUCAUAUUUCAUAAUCUGAGGUGAAAUUCUUGGAUUUAUGAAAGAUGAACAAUUGUGAAAGCAUUUGCCAAUGAUGUUUUCAUUAAUAAAGAAUGAAAGUUAGGGGCUCAAAGGUGAUCAAAUACUAUCCUAAUCUCAACCAUGAACGAUGUCGAUCAGGGAUCAAUGGAUGUUUUUCUUAGGACUUCACUGUCACUUUAUGAGAAAUCAAAGUUUUUAGGUUCCAUAAGGAGUAUGGUCGUAAGGCUAAAACUUAAAGGAAUUGAGAGAAGGGCACUACUCAAAAUAGGGAAACUUAUAGGUCUGGACAUAGUAAAGAUUGACAGACUAAGAGCUCUUUCUUGAUUCUAUGGGUGGUGGUGCAUGGUUGUUCUUAGUUGGUGGAGUGAUUUGUCUAGUGACUUCCAUUAACGAAUGAGACCUCAACCUACUAACUAGAUAUGGAGAGGUAAUCCUUCAUGGCUAGCUUUUUAGAAGGACUAUGGCUACUUAGACCAAAGAAGUUUGAGGUAAAAAUAGGUUUGUGAUGCCUUCACAUUUUUUGGGCCACACACACUACACUAUGUAUUCAAUAAGUUUAUAGCCUUAGCUGACAAGCUCGGCUAAUCUUUGAAAUUUCAUCAUGAUAUGGAUAGAUCAUUGCAAUUAUUGAUCUUCAAUGAUGAAUUCCUAGUAAGCGUGAGUCAUCAGCUUGCAUUAACUGCAUUCCUUCCUAUAGUAUACACUGCCCAUUGCUACUGCCGAUAAAUGACCUAGUGAAGUGUUUGGAUCAUGGUGACGUGGAUGGUUUGCUGCCUAUGACAUCAUAAGAAGUCCACUAAACCUUAUCAUGUAAAGGUUGGAAAAGUCAUAACAAGGUUUCCAUAGGUGAACCUAUGGCAG